Molecule: ribosomal RNA, 205 nt
Filed under: Escherichia coli
Lineage: Bacteria; Pseudomonadati; Pseudomonadota; Gammaproteobacteria; Enterobacterales; Enterobacteriaceae
Description: partial 23S ribosomal RNA
Rfam family: Bacterial large subunit ribosomal RNA
Source: RNAcentral
UUGAUGUGUAGGAUAGGUGGGAGGCUUUGAAGUGUGGACGCCAGUCUGCAUGGAGCCGACCUUGAAAUACCACCCUUUAAUGUUUGAUGUUCUAACGUUGACCCGUAAUCCGGGUUGCGGACAGUGUCUGGUGGGUAGUUUGACUGGGGCGGUCUCCUCCUAAAGAGUAACGGAGGAGCACGAAGGUUGGCUAAUCCUGGUCGGA